Long non-coding RNA from Astyanax mexicanus (Mexican tetra), 1292 nucleotides. RefSeq lists it as uncharacterized. The transcript has 2 exons. The record is from RefSeq and is a predicted model, not a curated record. NCBI's taxonomy places the organism in Eukaryota, Metazoa, Chordata, Actinopteri, Characiformes, Acestrorhamphidae.
UAGUAUUCAUGGCCACGCCCACCCUGGCUUGGGACCGCCCACAGGCACAGGACCCUGUUUAACAAUCCAGUGGUUCUGUAUACAACUGUUGCCCUUUCUGAAGAAACCCUGAACCAGAGUGUGUGUACAGAGCAACAAAAAAUGCGACAUUAACAAAGGCCCUGUGUGUGUUCUCUCAUGCCCACACCCCAAUCAGUGACAUUAUACAAACAUGGUAAACAUGAGUGCUCCACUGCAAGCUGUGGCUCGUUCUGAAAUGCGGAAGAUUGCAAGAGUGUACUGAGAUCGGACACGGUGUAACCAGACUGCUGCAGCGAACGACGGCUGCACAACUAAGAACAAGACGUUUAUGGGGAAACUGCAGACGAGGUCCAGAGAAUCAAAUGUAAUCUGUAACUCUGCAACUGAGCCAGGAUUCCUGUAUUUGUUGGUAAAACACACACACUAAGACACACACAAACACACUCUCAAAAGACCUAUUAGAAGAUGGAAAAUUUCCCCUCGUACACAGAUUACACACAGAAUGCCUCUCACUAUCUCGCUCUGUGCGGGAGGUUAGUGUGAACACACUUUUUUUUUGUAGAUGGUUCAUACAUGCAGACCAAUUACAGAAGGUUCAGGCAGGCUAUCAUCACAUAUUAAACAAUAGAAGAGGAAAAAGAAAUGGUGUUGUGCCAAAAUCCCACCCUUAUUGGUGAUUCUGUAUCUGCUGUAACUGUAGAUUAACCCUAAUUUUUAAACAUAUAUAAAACAAUCUGGAGGGAAUUUAAGAAGUUGUGCAGAUUAUUGGAUAAAUGGGUUUUAUCAUGUUUAUAACUUUGAAAAAUGCAGUGAAAUAUUUUUUCUGCUUUUCUAUAUUAAAGCCUGUGAUCAUACAUAAAGCCCAGCAUGAAAAUUGUGAUACGCUUGUGUUGAACACACUUGAAGCUUACCACUCAGAAGCACAUCACACUCGAGUUACACAAGUGGCUCUUACAGUGAAGAGGACAUUUAGAAACACAAUCAUGCAAUGAAACGCACGUCAGCAGCAGUUCCAGAGUGGAUCUGUGAAUAGUUACAGUAAAACAAAAAAAGUUUGACUGAAACUCCACCUAGAAAUAUUUAGACGAAAAUGAUAAGAGUGACUGGACAGGUAAAACACAGAAAUGACUGUAUUUUCUGGGGUGUUUGGUUCUAAAGCUCACUUGCUAAGAUAGCCUAUAUUACAGUUAAACACAGAGUAUCAGACAGCUCAAUCCAGCUGAUUUUGACUAAGUAAACUGAGUACUGAUAAUAAAAACCCACGUCUGAGA